Molecule: ribosomal RNA, 809 nt
Filed under: uncultured organism
Description: SSU rRNA
Rfam family: Bacterial small subunit ribosomal RNA
Source: RNAcentral
AGUGCAACAGAGGUAGGCGGAAUUCGUGGUGUAGCGGUGAAAUGCUUAGAUAUCACGAAGAACUCCGAUUGCGAAGGCAGCUUACUGGAUUGUAACUGACGCUGAUGCUCGAAAGUGUGGGUAUCAAACAGGAUUAGAUACCCUGGUAGUCCACACAGUAAACGAUGAAUACUCGCUGUUGGCGAUAUACAGUCAGCGGCCAAGCGAAAGCAUUAAGUAUUCCACCUGGGGAGUACGCCGGCAACGGUGAAACUCAAAGGAAUUGACGGGGGCCCGCACAAGCGGAGGAACAUGUGGUUUAAUUCGAUGAUACGCGAGGAACCUUACCCGGGCUUAAAUUGCAACUGACGGAACCGGAAACGGUUCUUUCUUCGGACAGUUGUGAAGGUGCUGCAUGGUUGUCGUCAGCUCGUGCCGUGAGGUGUCGGCUUAAGUGCCAUAACGAGCGCAACCCUUACGGGUAGUUACCAUCAGGUUAUGCUGGGGACUCUACCCGGACUGCCGUCGUAAGAUGUGAGGAAGGUGGGGAUGACGUCAAAUCAGCACGGCCCUUACGUCCGGGGCUACACACGUGUUACAAUGGGGGGUACAGAAGGCAGCUACACGGCGACGUGGUGCUAAUCCCAAAAGCCUCUCUCAGUUCGGAUUGGAGUCUGCAACCCGACUCCAUGAAGCUGGAUUUGCUAGUAAUCGCGCAUCAGCCACGGCGCGGUGAAUACGUUCCCGGGCCUUGUACACACCGCCCGUCAAGCCAUGAAAGCCGGGGGUACUAAAGGUACGUAACCGCGAGGAGCGUCCUAGGGUAAAAC